Entelurus aequoreus (snake pipefish) is the source of this 809-nucleotide long non-coding RNA. RefSeq lists it as uncharacterized. The transcript is spliced from 8 exons. The record is from RefSeq and is a predicted model, not a curated record. NCBI's taxonomy places the organism in Eukaryota, Metazoa, Chordata, Actinopteri, Syngnathiformes, Syngnathidae.
GUUUUACACUUUAUUUUUUGUUCUUUUUUUGUCAGUUAAGCUUCUACACAAGUGCCUGUCAAUCAUUUGGCUUUUUGAAGUUUGCCACGCCCACUUACAAGGCAGCAGCCAAUCACAUUAAAGCUCUUGUUAGUUGGCCACCUGAAGCCAGUUAACCACCGGAGUGGGGUGGCCGACAGGGGCAAAUGAGCUGCAAAGUCCAUAACUAGGGUGGCCGACAGGGGCAAAUGAGCUGCAAAGUCCAUAACUAGCUGCUAUGGCUGGUAUCAGUGGCCUUCAUGUAAAUAUCCCCCGGUGACGUGGGCUCAGAACAAAGAACAAGUGUAUCAGAACAAGCUGGUCCGUCUCCUAACAAGGUGUCUGUCCUUGAGAGAUUUGUCUCGUCAUCAAUCAGCAGCGGCCGCAGAGCCUGCAGAAAGAUUGAGAGCUGGAGUGAAAGAUACAAAGAGGAAUGAAAAGAAUGAGGGCUACUCCAUGUCCUCCCACGACACGACAACGCCCGGCUGAAUGAGCGCUUCGGCCCCCACAGCGUCCCAGGGGACUGGCGUCUGUCGGCGUGAUGCACUCUCCACUGCUGCAAACUCCAUUACCCACUGUCCUGCUUCUCCGUCACUGACAGCGGGGCUAAUUGGUGCAACCGUUGGACCAACCGGAUCCAGUGCCUAGAACUUCAUCUCCACAAACGAUCGAGCAGUGCGCCUCGCUUCCCUGGACUCCCCCCUGGAAUUGGACUGCCUCCCUCGAUCCUCGACCCGCGCUCGGACACGGACCUCUGACGCCUCGCUAUUCGCCCUGACUCCCUGCCUGCU